GAAACGGACGUUGGGGAGCAAAAGCCUUGGGGAGGAACCGGAAUUAGAUCCCCUGGUAUUCCACGCCGUUAAAGGUUGAGUUGUUAAGUGUUAGGGGUUUUCCGGCCCCUUAAGUGGUGGCAGUUAACGCAUUAAGCAUUCCGCUUGGGAGUACGGUCGCAAGAUUGAAAUUCAAAGGAAUUGACGGGGGCCCCGCACAAGCGGUGGAGCAUGUGGUUAAUUCGAAGCAACGCGAAGAACCUUACCAGGUCUUGACAUCCUCUGACAACCCUAGAGAUAGGGCUUUCCCUUCGGGGACAGAGUGACAGGUGGUGCAUGGUUGUCGUCAGCUCGUGUCGUGAGAUGUUGGGUUAAGUCCCGCAACGAGCGCAACCCUUGAUCUUAGUUGCCAGCAUUUAGUUGGGCACUCUAAGGUGACUGCCGGUGACAAACCGGAGGAAGGUGGGGAUGACGUCAAAUCCAUCAUGCCCCUUAUGACCUGGGCUACACACGAGCUACAAUGGACAGAACAAAGGGCUGCGAGACCGCAAGGUUUAGCCAAUCCCACAAAUCUGUUCUCAGUUCGGAUCGCAGUCUGCAACUCGACUGCGUGAAGCUGGAAUCGCUAGUAAUCGCGGAUCAGCAUGCCGCGGUGAAUACGUUCCCGGGCCUUGUACACACCGCCCGUCACACCACGAGAGUUUGCAACACCCGAAGUCGGUGAGGUAACCUUUAUGGAGCCAGCCGCCGAAGGUGGGGCAGAUGAUUGGGGUGAAGUCGUAACAAGGUAGCCGUAUCGGAAGGUGCGGCUGGAUCACCUCCUUUCU
RNAcentral lists this ribosomal RNA (806 nucleotides) under Bacillus sp. AM_LB_SC2. RNAcentral's name for it is "bacterial SSU rRNA". It matches the Rfam family "Bacterial small subunit ribosomal RNA", at positions 736 to 1533 of the family's 1533-position model. Lineage: Bacteria; Bacillati; Bacillota; Bacilli; Caryophanales; Bacillaceae. The record is from RNAcentral.